RNAcentral lists this ribosomal RNA (253 nucleotides) under uncultured bacterium. RNAcentral describes it as "partial 16S ribosomal RNA". It matches the Rfam family "Bacterial small subunit ribosomal RNA", at positions 524 to 776 of the family's 1533-position model. The record is from RNAcentral.
UACAGAGGGGGCAAGCGUUGUUCGGAAUUACUGGGCGUAAAGGGCGCGUAGGCGGCCUUCUAAGUCGAACGUGAAAUCCCUGGGCUCAACCCAGGAACUGCGUCCGAUACUGGAAGGCUUGAAUCCGGGAGAGGGAUGCGGAAUUCCAGGUGUAGCGGUGAAAUGCGUAGAUAUCGUAAGGAAGACCAGUGGCGAAGGCGGGUCUCUGGACAGUUCCUGACGCUGAGGCACGAAGGUCAGGGGAGCAAACGGG